This 917-nucleotide long non-coding RNA is filed under the name Equus asinus (donkey). RNAcentral's name for it is "lncRNA (ENSEASG00005029382.1)". Lineage: Eukaryota; Metazoa; Chordata; Mammalia; Perissodactyla; Equidae. The record is from RNAcentral.
CGGGGGGAGAGGAGGGGCGGGGCCGCGGGAGGGGAGGGGCCGGGCCGCGCGGAGGGGCUUUAGUCGUUGGACCUAGGCAGUGGCGGCGUCCAGUAUUAUAGAUGAGAAAGCUGAAGUGACCGCCCAAGAGCUGAGAUCUGAUCCCAAGUUGGCCGAGACCGGCAGAAGUGGAGGGCGACUGGAGGAGCUGGAUGACUCGGGAACGGAAGCGCGAGCUCCUUGAUGCCCCUGCCCUCAGGGCAGUCAGGGGACAGGACCCUGCCCUCUGGGCUUUUGGGAUUUCCGGGUGGCGUCUAUCGCCUGCCCAAGGUCACCAACCGCCCUCAACUCGAGUGCCCUGGUGCCGGAUGUGGCCGAGGUCUGGUCAACGUCAAGGAACACAGAGUACACGUUGAAAGGCAGCCAGCCACCGACGCCUGACUUCUCAAGGGACAAUAAAUCUGGAAUGCUCCCUACACCCCACCUGUUCAGUCAAAUUUACAGGCCCCAGAUGGAGAACUUAAGAUGGAGAGAAGUCUUUUCUUCCCCCUCCACGACGAACAGGUGGAUUCAGACCUGAGGUGGGGAGCCAAGUCAUGGGGCCAGGCCAGCCAGGGAGGGAACCUGGAUCUGAUCUUCCAACAAAGCCGUGGGGCUUCAGAACAGACAGAAAUGGAAAGAAAGUCGGCUCAGAUUGGUUCCUCCACGAAGAACUGUUCUAACGGCCUGGGCUCAGCCACGAGUGAGCCAGGUGCACCUGCUCACCGGUCCAGAGAAGGGUGUGGGCAAGUCGAGCUGCCUUGUUACAGACUGACAGGUUCUCUAUAGUCUCUUUCUUCUCUUUUGGGGAGACUAUGGUAAAAAGUCAUUUACUAAGAAGUGAUGGAUAUUGGUCGAGGCUCAGUUACUUUUGUGGUGAGCUAUUCUAUAUGUUGGAG